UACGUAGGGGGCUAGCGUUGUCCGGAAUCAUUGGGCGUAAAGCGUGUGUAGGCGGUCCGGUAAGUCCGCUGUGAAAGUCGGGGGCUCAACCCUCGGAUGCCGGUGGAUACUGUCGGGCUUGAGUACGGAAGAGGCGAGUGGAAUUCCUGGUGUAGCGGUGAAAUGCGCAGAUAUCAGGAGGAACACCAAUUGCGAAGGCAGCUCGCUGGGACGUUACUGACGCUGAGACGCGAAAGCGUGGGGAGCAAACAGG
RNAcentral lists this ribosomal RNA (253 nucleotides) under uncultured bacterium. Its description in RNAcentral is "partial 16S ribosomal RNA". It matches the Rfam family "Bacterial small subunit ribosomal RNA", at positions 524 to 776 of the family's 1533-position model. The record is from RNAcentral.